GACGAACGCUGGCGGCGUGCUUAACACAUGCAAGUCGAACGGAAAGGCCCUGCUUUUGUGGGGUGCUCGAGUGGCGAACGGGUGAGUAACACGUGAGUAACCUGCCCUUGACUUUGUUAUAACUUCAGGAAACUGGGGCUAAUACCGGAUAGGAGCUCCUGCUGCAUGGUGGGGGUUGGAAAGUUUCGGCGGUUGGGGAUGGACUCGCGGCUUAUCAGCUUGUUGGUGGGGUAGUGGCUUACCAAGGCUUUGACGGGUAGCCGGCCUGAGAGGGUGACUGGGCAAAUUGGGACAGAGAUACGGCCCAGAGUCGUACGGGAGGCAGCAGUGGGGGAUAUUGCCCAAUGGGCGGAAGCCUGAUGCAGCAACGCCGCGUGAGGGAUGACGGCCUUCGGGUUGUAGGCCGCUUUCGCCUGUGACGAAGCGUGAGUGACGGUAAUGGGUAAAGAAGCACCGGCUAACUCCGUG
RNAcentral lists this ribosomal RNA (468 nucleotides) under uncultured bacterium. RNAcentral's name for it is "partial 16S ribosomal RNA". It matches the Rfam family "Bacterial small subunit ribosomal RNA", at positions 28 to 507 of the family's 1533-position model. The record is from RNAcentral.